UACAGAGGUCCCAAGCGUUGUUCGGAUUCACUGGGCGUAAAGGGUGCGUAGGCGGUUGGGUAAGUCUGUCGUGAAAUCUCCGAGCCUAACUCGGAAACUGCGUCGGAUACUAUUCAACUCGAGGAAUGGAGGGGAGACUGGAAUUCUCGGUGUAGCAGUGAAAUGCGUAGAUAUCGAGAGGAACACCAGUGGCGAAGGCGAGUCUCUGGACAUUUCCUGACGCUGAGGCACUAAAGCCAGGGGAGC
RNAcentral lists this ribosomal RNA (246 nucleotides) under uncultured bacterium. RNAcentral describes it as "partial 16S ribosomal RNA". It matches the Rfam family "Bacterial small subunit ribosomal RNA", at positions 524 to 769 of the family's 1533-position model. The record is from RNAcentral.